GGAGUUGUAGCUCAGUGGCAGAGUGCUCACCUAGCACAUGUGAGACCCUGAGUUUAAUUCUCAAUACCUCAU
Molecule: transfer RNA, 72 nt
Filed under: Marmota monax (woodchuck)
Lineage: Eukaryota; Metazoa; Chordata; Mammalia; Rodentia; Sciuridae
Description: tRNA.Ala
Source: RNAcentral